Molecule: ribosomal RNA, 506 nt
Filed under: uncultured bacterium
Lineage: Bacteria
Description: bacterial SSU rRNA
Rfam family: Bacterial small subunit ribosomal RNA
Source: RNAcentral
AGCGAACGUUUGCGGCGGGCUUAACACAUGCAAGUCGAACGAGAAUCCCUUCGGGGAGGAAAGUGGCGCACGGGUGCGUAACACGUGGAUAACCAACCCAUUGGUUUGGGACAACACCGGGAAACUGGUGCUAAUACCAGAUGUGUCGCAGCUGUCUUCAGGCGGUUGCGAGAAAGGCCCGCAAGGGUCGCCAACGGACGGGUCCGCGUCCCAUCAGCUAGUUGGUGAGGUAAUGGCUCACCAAGGCAAAGACGGGUAGCUGGUCUGAGAGGAUGAUCAGCCACACUGGAACUGAGACACGGUCCAGACUCCUACGGGAGGCAGCAGUGGGGAAUAUUGCGCAAUGGGCGAAAGCCUGACGCAGCCACGCCGCGUGAGCGAUGAAGGUCUUCGGAUCGUAAAGCUCUGUGGGGGGAGAAGAAGAAAGCCGGUGAAGAGCCGGCCCUGACGGUAUCCCCUUAGCAAGCACCGGUUAACUCCGUGCCAGCAGCCGCGGUAAAGUCUGU